Molecule: ribosomal RNA, 506 nt
Filed under: Microbacterium sp. HCUBPB2
Lineage: Bacteria; Bacillati; Actinomycetota; Actinomycetes; Micrococcales; Microbacteriaceae
Description: bacterial SSU rRNA
Rfam family: Bacterial small subunit ribosomal RNA
Source: RNAcentral
AUGGGCGGAAGCCUGAUGCAGCAACGCCGCGUGAGGGAUGACGGCCUUCGGGUUGUAAACCUCUUUUAGCAGGGAAGAAGCGAAAGUGACGGUACCUGCAGAAAAAGCGCCGGCUAACUACGUGCCAGCAGCCGCGGUAAUACGUAGGGCGCAAGCGUUAUCCGGAAUUAUUGGGCGUAAAGAGCUCGUAGGCGGUUUGUCGCGUCUGCUGUGAAAUCCCGAGGCUCAACCUCGGGCCUGCAGUGGGUACGGGCAGACUAGAGUGCGGUAGGGGAGAUUGGAAUUCCUGGUGUAGCGGUGGAAUGCGCAGAUAUCAGGAGGAACACCGAUGGCGAAGGCAGAUCUCUGGGCCGUAACUGACGCUGAGGAGCGAAAGGGUGGGGAGCAAACAGGCUUAGAUACCCUGGUAGUCCACCCCGUAAACGUUGGGAACUAGUUGUGGGGUCCAUUCCACGGAUUCCGUGACGCAGCUAACGCAUUAAGUUCCCCGCCUGGGGAGUACGGCC